Molecule: ribosomal RNA, 285 nt
Filed under: Candidatus Adamsella sp.
Lineage: Bacteria; Bacillati
Description: partial 16S ribosomal RNA
Rfam family: Bacterial small subunit ribosomal RNA
Source: RNAcentral
ACAAUGGAGAGUUUGAUCCUGGCUCAGGACGAACGCUGGCGGUGUGCUUCAUACAUGCAAGUCGAACGAUAAGGCGUCUUCGGACGUACAUAAGUGGCGGACGGGUGAGUAACACGUAGGGAAUCUGCCUCAAGGAGGGGGACAACAGCUGAAAACGGCUGCUAAUACCCCAUAUGAGCUAAGUUGAAAUACUUAUCUUGAAAACUCCGGUGCCUUGAGAUGAGCCUGCGUCUGAUUAGCUUGUUGGUGGGGUAAAGGCCUACCAAGGCGAUGAUCAGUAGCUGG